CGUAGAGAAAUCGAGUCUUAAUAGGGCGUUUAGUUGCUGGGUAUAGACCCGAAACCAGGCGAUCUAUCCAUGAGCAGGUUGAAGGUUGGGUAACACUAACUGGAGGACCGAACCCACUGUCGUUGAAAAGCCAGGGGAUGACUUGUGGAUAGGGGUGAAAGGCUAAUCAAGCCUGGUGAUAGCUGGUUCUCCCCGAAAGCUAUUUAGGUAGCGCCUCGGACGAAUACCAUAGGGGGUA
Molecule: ribosomal RNA, 238 nt
Filed under: Acinetobacter baumannii
Lineage: Bacteria; Pseudomonadati; Pseudomonadota; Gammaproteobacteria; Moraxellales; Moraxellaceae
Description: partial 23S ribosomal RNA
Rfam family: Bacterial large subunit ribosomal RNA
Source: RNAcentral